RNAcentral lists this long non-coding RNA (751 nucleotides) under Numida meleagris (helmeted guineafowl). Its description in RNAcentral is "lncRNA (ENSNMEG00000021399.1)". Lineage: Eukaryota; Metazoa; Chordata; Aves; Galliformes; Numididae. The record is from RNAcentral.
CUAGCAUUCAUUUUUGAGUUGAUGUUAAUCUAAACAGAAAACCAAACGAUUGUAGGCAAAAAUAAUACAUAUGGUCUUGCUUUUUGCAGUGUAUUUAUGGUGUUAAAUUACCUAGUACUCUUGUCAUUGUUCACUUUAUUACCAUACCUGGAAGUCUUUUCUACACAAGAAAUAUCAGAGAAAAAACUAUGUGUAUGUAAUUUUGCCUGUGCAAGAACUCAGUAGAUCUGUAUUUACAAUUAAGAUUCCACUUACAAUCUUCUAAGAUAAUAUCAUCGGAAUUUACAUGAGCUAUAAGGUUCAUUAAUUUGGGGCUUCAUUGUGGAAAAACGAACUGUCGGGAAUAAGAUCUGUGCUACCUAAUGAAAUGAGAAAAAAGGUAUCAAUACAUUUGAAAUAUCAAAAUAUAUGAAGUAUCUAAGGGAAUUCUCUGUUUUUAAGGCUUUCUGGAAGAAUAUCUACUUUGUUUAUGCACCAGUAUCAUCAGCAGGAUUGGCAUGGCCUUGGGGUGUUGACCAAUGUCUUGGCUCAUCGAGAUUGAUAGAUAUAAUCCAAAGAGUCUACGUUCUGGCCAUUAGCUGUCCCUGACAGCCUCAACACUUCCCUCUCAAGGAUACAACAGCAGAAGUCAACAAGAGUUCAUGCAUAAUGUAUAUAUUUGCCUCUGUUGGUUCUUGCCUCUUUAUAUUACCUGUCUGCAAAGGGUAUAACAACAUGUUAUAAAAUGUCACACUUCUGCACUGAAGUUUCC